RNAcentral lists this unclassified non-coding RNA (223 nucleotides) under Hevea brasiliensis (rubber tree). Lineage: Eukaryota; Viridiplantae; Streptophyta; Magnoliopsida; Malpighiales; Euphorbiaceae. The record is from RNAcentral.
UCAUGACCGGUUUAACAGAAAGUCAUCGACCUGAGCUCAUGGCAGCUUUCUUGGAUGAGAUCGUUGAGGAUCCUAGAAUUGAAAUCGGAACGCAUGAUUGGAACUCCAUCAUCCAUGCCUUCUGCAAGGCUGGACGGCUAGAAGAUGCAAGGAGGACUUUCAGGAGAAUGACCUUCCUUCAGUUUGAACCAAAUGAGCAGACAUAUCUUUCUCUAAUAAAUGG